RNAcentral lists this long non-coding RNA (212 nucleotides) under Phoenix dactylifera (date palm). RNAcentral describes it as "long non-coding RNA (PDAC_LNC010816)". Lineage: Eukaryota; Viridiplantae; Streptophyta; Magnoliopsida; Arecales; Arecaceae. The record is from RNAcentral.
UUUGGCGCCGUUGCCGGGGAGGCAAAUCGAGAAGCAAGAACGAUCAUGAAGAUCAAAUCAAAUUUUGGAUGUCCGGAGUGAACGUACUCCGGUAGUAAGUUUUUAUUUUUAUUUUUAUUAAUUUUUCUUAUUUUGAUAAUUUCUAGUUAAUAAUUUUGUAGUUAUUAAAUUCUGAAAUUUGAAAUUCGAAAUUUAAAAUUCAAAAAAAAAAU